Molecule: ribosomal RNA, 468 nt
Filed under: uncultured bacterium
Lineage: Bacteria
Description: partial 16S ribosomal RNA
Rfam family: Bacterial small subunit ribosomal RNA
Source: RNAcentral
GACGAACGCUGGCGGCGUGCUUAACACAUGCAAGUCGAACGGAAAGGCCCUGCUUUUGUGGGGUGCUCGAGUGGCGAACGGGUGAGUAACACGUGAGUAACCUGCCCUUGACUUUGGGAUAACUUCAGGAAACUGGGGCUAAUACCGGAUAGGAGCUCCAGCUGCAUGGUGGGGGUUGGAAAGUUUCGGCGGAGGGGGAUGGACUCGCGGCUUAUCAGCUUGUUGGUGGGGUAGUGGCUUACCAAGGCUUUGGCGGGUAGCCGGCCUGAGAGGGUGACCGGCCACAUUGGGACUGAGAUACGGCCCAGACUCCUACGGGAGGCAGCAGUGGGGAAUAUUGCACAAUGGGCGGAAGCCUGAUGCAGCAACGCCGCGUGCGGGAUGACGGCCUUCGGGUUGUAAACCGCUUUCGCCUGUGACGAAGCGUGAGUGACGGUAAUGGGUAAAGAAGCACCGGCUAACUACGUG